UACGUAGGUGACAAGCGUUGUCCGGAUUUAUUGGGCGUAAAGAGCUCGUAGGCGGCUUGUUGCGUCGACUGUGAAAACCCGCGGCUUAACUGCGGGCUUGCAGUUGAUACGGGCAGGCUAGAGUUCGGUAGGGGAGACUGGAAUUCCUGGUGUAGCGGUGAAAUGCGCAGAUAUCAGGAGGAACACCGGUGGCGAAGGCGGCAUCCUGGACCGACAUUGACGCUGAACGGCGAAAGCUAGGGGAGCAAACGGG
Molecule: ribosomal RNA, 253 nt
Filed under: uncultured bacterium
Lineage: Bacteria
Description: partial 16S ribosomal RNA
Rfam family: Bacterial small subunit ribosomal RNA
Source: RNAcentral